UAGCUCAAGUCCGUUUGUGAUUCACAUGAACUCUUUUUCAUCAAUCCCAAUGCUAUAGCUAUAGACUUUAAGGAUUCAGCUUCUCAAAUUCCAUAGGACUACUCUCCUCUGUUAGCAUCGAUAGAUUUCAUCUAGAUACAUAUCUUGCUCCUAUAGUGGAUCAACUGUCACCAACAUCCAUUAUAUAGACUCAUUGAGAUCAUGUUUAUGUGUAGUCAAACUCUAACAACCUCACUAUGAGCAGUUGUGGCACCGUAGGUCAAAGGACCAGUCGCACAACUGCAGCAUCGAGAAAGUCGCUAAUGAGUGAGUAGACACCCAUGUGACUUCUCGUAUUGGUCAUGCUCUGUGCUAGUUAUUCUUUAACAACCACCUAUACUUUUCUUUCAGUAUCUAUACAUCGC
RNAcentral lists this long non-coding RNA (404 nucleotides) under Elaeis guineensis (African oil palm). RNAcentral's name for it is "long non-coding RNA (EGUI_LNC078825)". Lineage: Eukaryota; Viridiplantae; Streptophyta; Magnoliopsida; Arecales; Arecaceae. The record is from RNAcentral.